RNAcentral lists this ribosomal RNA (372 nucleotides) under uncultured bacterium. Its description in RNAcentral is "bacterial SSU rRNA". It matches the Rfam family "Bacterial small subunit ribosomal RNA", at positions 28 to 403 of the family's 1533-position model. The record is from RNAcentral.
GACGAACGCUGGCGGCGUGCUUAACACAUGCAAGUCGAGCGGUAAGGCCCUUUCGGGGGUACACGAGCGGCGAACGGGUGAGUAACACGUGGGUGACCUGCCUCUAGCUCUGGGAUAAGCCUGGGAAGCUGGGUCUAAUACCGGAUAUGACCUCGCGGUGCAUGUUGCGGGGUGGAAAGCCUUGUGCGGCUAGGGAUGGGCCCGCGGCCUAUCAGCUUGUUGGUGGGGUGAUGGCCUACCAAGGCGACGACGGUAGCCGGCCUGAGGGGCGACCGGCCACACUGAGACUGAGACACGGCCCAGACUCCUACGGGAGGCAGCAGUGGGGAAUCUUGCGCAAUGGGCGAAAGCCUGACGCAGCGACGCCGCGUG